UGUAAGGGCGCCGGUCUGUUGCCGCGCCACGGUAAAAGUAUGUGCCGAGCCGAGUGGGAAAGGUCUAAGAAAGAUGUAGUCUCCGUUGGGACCGUGGUACGCGCCCGAUCGAUGUGAGAGUUCUUUCGGGGUUGUGCUGCGUGUGUGUACCUCCAUGUAUGUGUGUUUGAGUAGUUGAGUUGAAUAGAAACCAACAUACAGGUCGUUCGGCGGCCGGGGCGUUCGUCGCCGGAAAAUCCUGUUCAUCUUCUUCUACCUUCCUCCGGCGUUCGUCGCCGGAGGGCGGUUCGGCGUAUGUUGCUGGUGGGUUGGUCCCAACAAUGGCAGGGACGACAAAGAAGGGCGACGGCACGCCAAAGAUGACCAUCACCGGUGGCACCGCCGACGCCGGAGGCCCCUGCAUCCACGACCAAAGUAGAAUCUCGAGACGGCCAAAACCGAGCUCAACGACAAUGCUUCGCCGCCGCCGCCCUUGGUAGUCGCAAGGCUUCGCCAGCGGCGAUCUCGAGCGACGCGAUGGGUGGGGAAUCGAAAGAAGGUUGAGAUCUCCGGCCUCUGCAUCAAUAGAUGAACGCCAGCAAGUGAGAACAAGCUCUUCAAAUCAAACACUCGGAAUGAUUUUAGGGGAGGAUGACCCCCGGCCUCUGCAUCUGAGAGAAUGUUACUGAAUAUAUAAAAUAAUCUUAUCCAACCAUAUCAUGUAGUUGAUUUAUUUUUGGAUAUACGUCCGCAAUUAGAUGGUUUUAGUUUUUGUUCAUCCUCUUGCAUCUUGUGGUGCGGACUCGUUUCUAGAAAUAAAAAUAGAUUUGAAAGGAAUUGCUCUCUUGUCUCGAAAUGUAUGUGUGGAGAACGGCUGCAUAUACAAGAGUCAGACAAUGUCA
Molecule: long non-coding RNA, 881 nt
Organism: Triticum aestivum (bread wheat)
Lineage: Eukaryota; Viridiplantae; Streptophyta; Magnoliopsida; Poales; Poaceae
Exons: 3
Source: RefSeq, a predicted model, not a curated record